RNAcentral lists this ribosomal RNA (253 nucleotides) under uncultured bacterium. RNAcentral's name for it is "partial 16S ribosomal RNA". It matches the Rfam family "Bacterial small subunit ribosomal RNA", at positions 524 to 776 of the family's 1533-position model. The record is from RNAcentral.
UACGGAGGGUGCAAGCAUUAAUCGGAUUUAUUGGGCGUUAAGGGCGUGUAGGCGGGUUAGUAAGUCGAGUGUGAACUUCCAAAGCUCAACUUUGGGACUGCAUUUGAAACUACUAGUCUGGAGGAUUGGCGGAGAAAAUGGAAUUCCACGUGUAGCGGUGAAAUGCGUAGAUAUGUGGAAGAACACCUGGGGCGAAAGCGAUUUUCGAGCUUAUACCUGACGCUGGGGCGCGAGAGCAAGGGGAGCAAACAGG